This 250-nucleotide ribosomal RNA is filed under the name uncultured bacterium. RNAcentral describes it as "partial 16S ribosomal RNA". It matches the Rfam family "Bacterial small subunit ribosomal RNA", at positions 338 to 580 of the family's 1533-position model. The record is from RNAcentral.
CCUACGGGAGGCAGCAGUAGGGAAUCUUCCACAAUGGACGAAAGUCUGAUGGAGCAACGCCGCGUGAGUGAAGAAGGGUUUCGGCUCGUAAAAUUCUGUUGUUAGGGAAGAAAGGUGAUGGGAGGAACUGACCUUCAAUUGACGGUAAUUACUUAGAAAGUCACGGCUAACUACGUGCCAGCAGCCGCGGUAAUACGUAGGUGGCAAGCGUUGUCCGGAAUUAUUGGGCGUAAAGCGCGUGCAGGUGGUU